Molecule: ribosomal RNA, 229 nt
Filed under: uncultured bacterium
Lineage: Bacteria
Description: partial 16S ribosomal RNA
Rfam family: Bacterial small subunit ribosomal RNA
Source: RNAcentral
CAUGUAGGCGGUUGUUUAAGUCUGAUGUGAAAGCCCGGGGCUCAACCCCGGAAGUGCAUUGGAAACUGGGCAACUUGAGUACGGGAGAGGAAAGUGGAAUUCCGAGUGUAGGGGUGAAAUCCGUAGAUAUUCGGAGGAACACCAGUGGCGAAGGCGGCUUUCUGGACCGAUACUGACGCUGAGAUGCGAAAGCGUGGGGAGCAAACAGGAUUAGAUACCCUGGUAGUCC